CUCCAACAAACAUUUUUAAUAUCUCAGUAAUUUCAUCUCAUCAAAAAUGAUGUGUUAGUUGUUCCUUGUAUUUAUACUACUCUAUUAUAAGAAACAAUGAAACAUUUUCUUCUAUUUCUGGUCAUAAUUUGUGGAAUAACCAAAGUUCGUACAUUUGCGGACACAGUUUGCUUUGUUCCCUCACAAAAUCUUGUCGAAUCUUCAUGCAUCGAUCACGCCCAAAGUAUUUUCUACAGAAAGUGUCUGCACCAAAUCUGGGACACAACGUCUAGUUGCUUUUUCACCAGUUUUGGAAAAUUACAUCAAAUUUCAAACUUUACAAUGUUAAAAUCAGAAAAACUUAGACAACUGUACAAAAUUCAAGUCUUCCUCAGUGGUUGUGAUAAAUGGUAUUCGCUGGUGGAAGAGAAUUCAUAUUUCAAGUCUAAUUUUCUUCGAAGAAAUGUUUACGUCGUGUUAAUGGCCAACUUUUCUAUUGCGAAGAUUUUUGAUGGGACAUUUAACGAUGGGGUUAUUACCAACGCUAUACAACAAAAGAUUUGCAGAAAUUCAUCUGAAGAAGUAGUGACUUAUUGUGACGUUUUACCAAAUAGUAUGUCCAAUUGGGCUGAAGUUUUUCUAUACUACUUAAAUUUGGCAUUUUUGAUACUGUCUAUACCAGGUCUGUGUGGCAUUGGUCUCACUGCAAUCAUCUUUAAAGAAUGGCGUAAAAAUACAAAAAACCAAAUACUGCUUUAUUUUGGUAUCGCUCUAGCAGCAAAGCACUUUUCAUCGUUCUGCUUCGAACAAGCAUUAGAUGUCCCAGCAUUAAACGGCCUUGCCUGUUACACAUUUGGAGUACUGUACCAUUACUUCCAACUAGCGCACUUUUCCUGGAUGUUCUUUUUAGGAAUUCAUCAAUUCAAGAGACUUGUCAUUGUUUUUGGAGAACUGGAGAACUUACUCCUAAAAGCUUGCCUUCUAGGAUGGCUUACGCCAGCCAUACCCGUUGUCCUUCUUCUAAUUUGCGAUUACAAAAAUUACGAAGAGUUGUGCAUUCCUAGGGAUUACGGGCUUAUUUUUGCCCUUUGGCUUCCGGCAGCUGCCUUCACACUCUGCAAUGCCAUCAUUUUCUUGUGCAUUUUUUACACCUUAUUGUUCAAAAGACCCGAAAUUCUUCAAAGUCAAGCUAGUGAUAAUCGAGCUUCGAAGUACCUUCGACACGCAAUUCUGCUUACUUUCAUGCUUGGCAUUAAUUGGGUGUUUGUUCUUGGGGAUAUUUUAUUUCCAGAAAAUUUUUUCUUUCGCUUUUUUGCGGUCACGACCAGCCUCCAGGGCUUUGUCCUCUUUCUCUUUUUUAUUGUACUGACUGAAGAAACGCGAAACAUGUAUUUUCAUCUUUUUAGGAAAUGGUUCAGAUGCUUCAGGUGGCAUCAAACAGAAACCUACGUAGUCAGUCUUACCGUUAAUGAGUGAUUGUAAGCAAUUUUCUUUGUGCUCAAAUCAUCGUUUUGUAAAUUCUCAAUAAAAUAAUUAUAAUUUGAGUUUUUACAUAUAAUAAUAAUAAUAAUAAUAAUAAUAAUAAUAAUAAUAAUAAUAAUAAUAAUAAUAAUAAUAAUAAUAAAAAUUACAAAAAGAGAUCUGUAACAGAAUCUAAAAAUUCUAAAAAUUCUAGUUAAUAUGGAAACAAUCAUCAGAAUAUUUAUUCGCAUUUUUUGACGGUGCUUUUAGGAUUAUGUUUCUAUAGGCUCUAGGUGUUAAAAAACUAAUUGAAUCUCUUGCAGACAAUCUUGGCACUAAAAUGCCAACCUUGGAAAGUAGAUAAAAGCAAUCAAUCUUUAAAGAUAAUAAGUUUGAACCCCCCUUUUGAUAUAAUUAGAUAUAAGAAAUCAUCUUCUGUUUUGCUUAUCAGAAUUAAGGUCCAAUAUUUUAGAUGGAUCUUCUACUCGUAAAAUAUGAACACAGAAUAAUUCCUAAUAAAAUUACUCUACACGGAGAAAACUGUCUGUUAAAAUUUGUCUAGUACGUUUUUUCUAAUAUUUUUAAUAUUUUCUUUUGUUAGCAUUAAUAUUUAUUACAUUACUAACUAAAUAUUUUUUUUAAUAAGAUUAAUAUAUUUUUUGAUGCAAAUUAAAUACGUCUGUACAUAAUUUCUAUUGUCCAAAAAGAUUAUACAUUACGCAUUAAUACCUAGGUGCCAGGUUUUGUUAAUGGUUAACUUAUGGUAUAUUAAAAUGUGAGAGAACAUUUUUAACAAAUUAUUUUAUUACCAUUUAAUAAACUUUGCGACUAUCCUUAUUUUUAAUGAAAAUUCUAAUAGUGUGUAUUAUAUUUUUUAUAAAGUGUAAUGGAUUUUCUUCUCUGUGUAAUAAAUCUGGUUAUUUGCGCUAUUUGCAGAAAUAUUUAAUAAUAAAUAUUUGUUAAGCAGCUGUUUGUAGUGUUAUUAAAAAUUAUGAAUCAUGAGCUACAGUCACAAUCGGAGAUAUGCUAACAAUCAUGGCUAAAUGUUACAGUAAAGUUUAUUGAGUUAUGUAAUUUGAUGGCGAAAGGUUGGUGCUUCAAAAAUCGUCAAAAAUCUCGUAAAGCACUUCCUUUCAAGUCCUGCCAUGGGAUGGAAUUAAUUAAUCCUUUCGAAUCCUUGCACAAUCCUGCCGUUGCAUGUCGUGUGACUCCAUUGAGUAAGGAUGGCAUGACUGUGCGUGUAAUGGGAAAAAAUGGAUUGCAGACGCAUUUCGUAAUUGUUGAAGAAGACGCUCAAUUUCAGAUGAGUCGCAACCGAGCAGAAAAUUGAAAAAUGGACACACUUUUACCGGUUUUUGGAGCAAGGUCGACACGGAUCCACGACCGUUGUGUUUUAAUAUUGAUGAUUCAUUUUUAAACUUGCUCUCUUCGCUUCCGAGCGGAAACUGUGCGCUUUCCGGCGAUUGAGGGAUUAAGCAUUUAUCCAUUCAACUAUCAAGUUUCUAAGCCAUCAAAUUAAAUCUGAUUUAAAAAAUUGUAUAAUCUUGUAUUUCGAAAGAGCAAAUACGAGGCAACGUAAAACUGUGUGAUAUACGACAUUCCAUGUGGUGAAAAUGCCAACAUCGCUAGGCAAAUAUUCGUGUGAAAACGCUUUCGGCAUGAAUCACAUGCAGAACUUCCCAUUGUUAUUUUUCAUUAUUUAAAUAAAAAUUUAAGCUCA
This is a long non-coding RNA of Tribolium castaneum (red flour beetle), 3160 nucleotides long. RefSeq lists it as uncharacterized. The record is from RefSeq and is a predicted model, not a curated record. The transcript is spliced from 2 exons. Lineage: Eukaryota; Metazoa; Arthropoda; Insecta; Coleoptera; Tenebrionidae.